GGAUGUGAUCAUACCGACACUAAUGCACCGGAUUCCAUCAGAACUUUAACUUUAAGCGUGCUUGGGCGAGAAGGCGAGAGUAGUACUAGGAUGGGUGACCCCCUCAAAAGUCCUCGUGUUGCAUCCC
This 127-nucleotide ribosomal RNA is filed under the name Ipomoea nil (Japanese morning glory). The record is from RNAcentral. Lineage: Eukaryota; Viridiplantae; Streptophyta; Magnoliopsida; Solanales; Convolvulaceae.